This 253-nucleotide ribosomal RNA is filed under the name uncultured bacterium. RNAcentral describes it as "partial 16S ribosomal RNA". It matches the Rfam family "Bacterial small subunit ribosomal RNA", at positions 524 to 776 of the family's 1533-position model. The record is from RNAcentral.
UACGUAGGGUGCAAGCGUUGUCCGGAAUUAUUGGGCGUAAAGAGCUCGUAGGCGGUUUGUUGCGUCGGCUGUGAAAUCCCGAGGCUCAACCUCGGGUCUGCAGUCGAUACGAGCAAACUAGAGUGCGGUAGGGGAGAUCGGAAUUCCUGGUGUAGCGGUGAAAUGCGCAGAUAUCAGGAGGAACACCGGUGGCGAAGGCGGAUCUCUGGGCCGUAACUGACGCUGAGGAGCGAAAGCAUGGGGAGCGAACAGG